RNAcentral lists this long non-coding RNA (2686 nucleotides) under Mus musculus (house mouse). RNAcentral describes it as "long non-coding RNA chr12:44512122-44514808". The record is from RNAcentral. Lineage: Eukaryota; Metazoa; Chordata; Mammalia; Rodentia; Muridae.
AACUCAGGAUCUCUGGAAGAGCAGCCAGUGCUCUUAACCUCUGAGCCAUUUCUCCAGCCCUAAACAAAGUUUCUUUAAACAAAGGUCCUCCAAAAAUACCAUCUGACUUUAGAACACACAUGACCUAUAGUAAACUCAAGGGAAAUGACUGCUUCCUCUUGGAAAUGGCAGGUGUUCGUCAGCCUUGUCCAGGUAAUAAGACUACCAUGCUAUGACCUUGCCCUUACCUCACCAUGCUAGAAUCUCAGUGUUCACAUCAUAUGGGGUUAUCCUGAAGAAGCUCUGCCUUCUACAAUCACAUAUCUCUAGGAAACAGUUCCAUGUAGAAACUGUUGAGUAGAAAUCUUACCAACCUGGAUUAGGAGAGGCAGCAUGUGACUUCUGUGGCCUGCUGUCUCACCAGUAAAAGUUAUGAAAUUUCACUGAAAAUAAUGUAAGAAACUUUUCAAAGAGCUCUGUGAGAUGGUGUUUUCCUAUGUUAGAGAAUAUUUGAAAAUAUGUAUGUAAUAUGUCAAGAUUGAAAAACUGGAAGGUUAUAUGAUAAACAACAACAAAACCCCCAGAUUUGGUAGAUAGGGUCAAAUAUUGCAAAUGGUUUAAACAGCUGUCUUCUGGCCAAAGUGCUGAAUAUCUUCAGCAUUUUUAUAGCCACUGAUAUUUUUCUUUCUUUUGUAUUGUCACUUCCACCCCAGCUUCUCUCUUUUAGUGCUGUCAUUGGCUAACCAUCGAUGCUCUACUUUAUGUCCAGAAAUGCUGCAAACAAAAAUGGCAUGGCUUAAAGAAAAUUCUCAUCACAAUACAUGUGUGGCACCUAACACUAUGCUGUGCAUAGUCAUUUGUUGUGGGUCUGUGCUAAGUGUCUGAGGAACUUUACAUUAGUAAGUCAAUCACUCAUAGCACCUAACUCAGAGAAUUGCUGAAAAUAAAAAGGUAAUAUUUGCAACUAUCUUAGCACAGAUGAAGCCUGAUUCAUAGUUAAGUGGUCAGUGAACUCUGAUUACUACAAGGAUGAAACCAUUUUCAAAAGCUUUGUGUUGUGAGCACUGAAAUUUUCAGGAGGAUGCCACAUUCCUCUGGGUGAUCCUGGGAUAAUAACAGGAAGGUUAGAUAUGGAAUUGUUUACUAGGAGACGACAGAGGAAGAUACAGAAGACUCUACUUACCUGAUUCAUUGGAUUUGAUUCAGAUGGGCUUCAAUAAAGCUGUGCUGUGAAUCACCUGUCUCAUAGAACAUCAGGGCCCACGUACAAAUUGUGUACCAUUGAUCACUAUGACAUCAAGGGCAAGAACUCCUACUAGGGGCAGGAAAUUCAUUAGCUUGUUCCUAAAACUCUAGUAUUUACUGAAGUAUCCGGAUAUUUAUACAAAUCACUCAGAUUCUACAAAUGAUAAAGGAAGAGAUCAUUGUGAAAAAAGGUCACUUUUUUGUUUGCUUGUUUGUUGUUGUUGUUGUUUUUUGAGACAGGGUUUCUCCGUAUAACCCUGGCUGUCCUGGAACUCACUUUGUAGACCAGGCUGGCCUCGAACUCAGAAAUCCACCUGCCUCUGCCUCCCGAGUGCUGGGAUUAAAGGCGUACACCACCACGCCCGGCUGCAAAAGGUCACUUUUGAUAUAUUUGCUAUUUUCAGCAAAUGAGUUGCAUAAAUACUCAAUGCCUGCUUUAGUUAAAGAUCAUAUCAGUCAAUGUGAAGAUUACUAUGCUUCAGAAAGCCAAAUUGUUACCAUGGUGAUUCAAUAUUAUGAAAAUAUGUCUUAUAUUCUAGGACAAUAUAGGAACUUUCGCUGAACCUGAAUGACCAAAGUUAGUAAACACUGUGAGAUCACUUAAGGCUGCUAUCCUUCUUUGUUCUCAGCCUGCUUGUUUCACCUGACUUUAAGAGAACAAUAUAGCCAUCAACCUUAUGUAUCUUGGAUUUACCAUAAUCAAUUUUACAACCUAAUCAACACAUAUCUUUAAUUUUAAAUUAUAAACUCCCCUGAGCAAUGCAUGUAUGUGUGUGUAUGUAUGCUAUGAUAAUAAUCAUUUUAUGAAAAUAGCAAAUGUGUCAAAAGUGACCUUAUAAAUAAACAAAUAAAUAAAAAAUGUUCAUUGUAAAUAUUGGAUGCAAUGUGGAUAUGACUUUGUAAAUAUGUUUGUAGUGAUGUUCACAGUAGUGUUUGUUAUCAGUUGGGGUCAGUUGGGAUCAAUGACUCAAUCCCUUGUAAAACUCAUUUAAAGGUUUUUGUAAAGUCCACUCAUUCUUUUCCCUAUGUGGUGCUUUUUGUGUGACAUAGAACCAGGAAAAGACAUAGCAAGACAUCUAGACAUCAAUCAUACAUAGGGACACAGAUUCAGACUCAUCCAAUAUACAUGUUAAAGACCAGAAAACAGAGUUACACAGAGAAGGAAGAUACACGGAGAGUAUUCAAACCAGGGCUCCCUCUUGGUUAAACUACUCCAAGGCAAAUGCUUUGAUCUCUUUCCUUAAUGUGAUAUUGGUGCAUAGUAGUGACUCUGGAUUUACCCCUAAUGUGCUAAAACCCAUGAAAUUAAAAUGUUCGUGCUUUUAUUAGGACAAUCAUUUCAAGUAAAUGUCUAAUAACCCUGAUUGUUGAUUAGACCCAAUAUCAUCAUGGAAUUUGUGGGUUUCCUAUGAGUCCCAACUGUACUUUUUCCUAAACCAAGAAAAAGUAUAACUUAGCGUGC